This 491-nucleotide ribosomal RNA is filed under the name uncultured bacterium. Its description in RNAcentral is "partial 16S ribosomal RNA". It matches the Rfam family "Bacterial small subunit ribosomal RNA", at positions 29 to 506 of the family's 1533-position model. The record is from RNAcentral.
AGUGAACGCUGGCGGUAGGCCUAACACAUGCAAGUCGAACGGCAGCACAGUAAGAGCUUGCUCUUACGGGUGGCGAGUGGCGGACGGGUGAGGAAUACAUCGGAAUCUACUUUUUCGUGGGGGAUAACGUAGGGAAACUUACGCUAAUACCGCAUACGACCUACGGGUGAAAGCAGGGGAUCUUCGCACCUUGCGCGAUUGAAUGAGCCGAUGUCGGAUUAGCUAGUUGGCGGGGUAAAGGCCCACCAAGGCGACGAUCCGUAGCUGGUCUGAGAGGAGGAUCGGCCACACCGGAACUGAGACACGGUCCAGACACCUACGGAAGGCAGCGGUGGGGAAUAUUGGACAAUGGGCGCAAGCCUGAUCCAGCCAUACCGCGUGGGUGAAGAAGGCCUUCGGGUUGUAAAGCCCUUUUGUUGGGAAAGAAAAGCAGCAGGUUAAUACCCCGCUGUUCGGACGGUACCCAAAGAAUAAGCACCGGCUAACUUCGU